AACGAUCGCUGGCGGCAUGCCUAACACAUGCAAGUCGAACGAGACCUUCGGGUCUAGUGGCGCACGGGUGCGUAACGCGUGGGAACCUGCCCUUAGGUUCGGAAUAACUCCCCGAAAGGGGUGCUAAUACCGGAUAAUGUCUUCGGACCAAAGAUUUAUCGCCUUUGGAUGGGCCCGCGUUGGAUUAGCUAGUUGGUAGGGUAAAAGCCUACCAAGGCGACGAUCCAUAGCUGGUCUGAGAGGAUGAUCAGCCACACUGGGACUGAGACACGGCCCAGACUCCUACGGGAGGCAGCAGUGGGGAAUAUUGGACAAUGGGCGAAAGCCUGAUCCAGCAAUGCCGCGUGAGUGAUGAAGGCCUUAGGGUUGUAAAGCUCUUUUACCCGGGAUGAUAAUGACAGUACCGGGAGAAUAAGCGCCGGCUAACUCCGUG
Molecule: ribosomal RNA, 433 nt
Filed under: uncultured bacterium
Lineage: Bacteria
Description: partial 16S ribosomal RNA
Rfam family: Bacterial small subunit ribosomal RNA
Source: RNAcentral